AUUGAACGCUGGCGGCAUGCCUUACACAUGCAAGUCGAACGGCAGCACGGGAGCAAUCCUGGUGGCGAGUGGCGAACGGGUGAGUAAUAUAUCGGAACGUGCCCAGUCGUGGGGGAUAACGUAGCGAAAGCUACGCUAAUACCGCAUACGAUCUAUGGAUGAAAGCGGGGGAUCGCAAGACCUCGCGCGAUUGGAGCGGCCGAUAUCAGAUUAGGUAGUUGGUGAGGUAAAGGCUCACCAAGCCGACGAUCUGUAGCUGGUCUGAGAGGACGACCAGCCACACUGGGACUGAGACACGGCCCAGACUCCUACGGGAGGCAGCAGUGGGGGAAUUUUUGGACAAUGGGCGCGAAGCCUGAUCCAGCAAUGCCGCGUGCAGGAUGAAGG
RNAcentral lists this ribosomal RNA (387 nucleotides) under uncultured bacterium. RNAcentral's name for it is "bacterial SSU rRNA". It matches the Rfam family "Bacterial small subunit ribosomal RNA", at positions 29 to 414 of the family's 1533-position model. The record is from RNAcentral.